Ricinus communis (castor bean) is the source of this 128-nucleotide long non-coding RNA. RefSeq lists it as uncharacterized. The transcript has 4 exons. NCBI's taxonomy places the organism in Eukaryota, Viridiplantae, Streptophyta, Magnoliopsida, Malpighiales, Euphorbiaceae. The record is from RefSeq and is a predicted model, not a curated record.
CGAAACCACAGCCAAGGGAACGGGCUUAGAGGAAUCAACGGGGAAAGAAGACCCUGUUGAGCUUGACUCUAGUCCGACUUUGUGAAAUGACUUGAGAGGUGAAGGAUAAGUUGGAGCCUUAAACUUAG